GUAGGUGAACCUGCGGAAGGAUCAUUAAUAGUGCUCAUUGACGCAAGUCAGUGAGUUAGAUCUGCUCUCCUCGCAAGAGGAGGGUUUCCAUACACACCGUGAACUGUGGCUUCGGCCAUUACAAACUGUUAGUAAUGAAUGUAAUAUCAUAACAAAAACAAAACUUUUAACAACGGAUCUCUUGGCUCUC
Molecule: unclassified non-coding RNA, 190 nt
Filed under: rhizosphere metagenome
Description: partial ribosomal RNA internal transcribed spacer region
Source: RNAcentral